UUACCGGAUUAAUCCAUCUUCAGUUUCUCUUUUCCAUUGUCGAGACAACUCUCAAAGGAAGAAAAAUAAAUCCCAAAACCUAAUAUGAGAAUUCAAUACCGAAAAUAUAGAUAUGAGAAUCAAAUAAACACAUCAAGCAAGUAGUAGGUUCAGUUGAAAUCAAAUUGAAUAACCUAAAUCAUCGUCAGCAGUAUCAGUUCAUGAAGAACAAUUCAGAAAUGAAAGAAAAGGUUGAGGAGAAUCGAUGCAGAAAACCAAAUUUAAGAUUUCAUCUACUAUUGGAAGGAUCAGUUGACGUGACAUUAGACAUGGCGCAAGAUCUCAUCGGAGCUGCAGAUCAGUAUCUUUUGGCCGGGCUUAAGCGUCUUUGUGAAUAUGCAAUUGCACAGGAUGUAACUUUGGAAAUGUCUCAACCUUGUACGAGCUAUCGGAGAACUUCCAUGUAAUGUCAUUGAGGGACAUAUGCAUCCUUUUAAUUCUGGAGCACUUCGAAAAAAUUGAGUGAGAGGCCAGGACAUGCUCAUCUCAUCCAAUUUUCACUAUUGUGGAUGUAAACACCACCUGGAGUGGAGCAAGCCGUGGAUCAUAAGGGAAUACGUCCCCGUAGGGCCUCUAUUGGUGUUUGCAAACCCGCCCUUCCUUAUCAUCGGUACAUAUACAUGUGAGCCAAUAGAUUUAAAUAUGUUGGUAGUAAUGUAACGUCUGAUUCUUGUCUGCUAUUGAGCAUUUAUUUCAUUAUCAGUAUUCGGAUUUUGGGUACAUCUUGUAUGAGAUCAAACAAUUACAGGAAAGAAA
Molecule: RNA transcript, 795 nt
Organism: Papaver somniferum (opium poppy)
Lineage: Eukaryota; Viridiplantae; Streptophyta; Magnoliopsida; Ranunculales; Papaveraceae
Gene name: ARM REPEAT PROTEIN INTERACTING WITH ABF2-like
Exons: 5
Source: RefSeq, a predicted model, not a curated record